Phoenix dactylifera (date palm) is the source of this 1392-nucleotide non-coding RNA. The record is from RefSeq and is a predicted model, not a curated record. Lineage: Eukaryota; Viridiplantae; Streptophyta; Magnoliopsida; Arecales; Arecaceae.
UUUUGUUUUCCAAAUAUCAUGCUUUUUUUUGUCGAACAAAAAUGGGAUUUUUCUCUAUAUCAUCAUACAUUUUAGAAUUCCUAUCCAAAUCUUGUUUGGCUAAACUAGUCUUCUCUGUUAAGGUGUGAUAAAUUUGCAAAUCGUAUCUCUUUCUAUAAUUGCCUACAUAUAUUUGGUGAGAUAUCAUCAUUGUAUACAAAGUCUCCAGAGUAGAAUCAUUGUUUUACCACAGGCCGCACCUAUUAUCUGAUUUGAAGCCCAUCCAUAUUUGCUUCGAGCCUAGUGACACCAAAUUGGACCAGUAUCCUUAGGACCUCAAGAAUGACCACUUCCCGCUGCACUUAGAUGUCCUCCAUGAGCUUUUCGAAGCUUCUACCACUACCAAAUAGGAUAUGGAAAUUUUGUAGCCUCUCUAAACACUAAACAGUCCCAUACUUGAACUUGCGAAUGCAAACGUUGCAAUAUCUUACAUCCCUAUACAACUUUGGCUUACUGUGGCUUCGCCAAGAGAAUGCCGGUUCGAUUCAAUACCUUACGAGUCCAUGACCCAGACGGUUCUAUUGAACCGACCACAUCUCCGCAUAGCUUCGCCCGGGCCAAACCGUGCCACCCACUAAAAUAAAGCCGGCUCACCAAACCCAACCCAAACCCAGUGGUAAAAUGAACUAUAUCCCAAUCCUUUCAUUCCGAUAUAUUUACAGUCUUGGCUUUCUCUUGUUCGAUCUCACAUUUAUUCUGGCGUUUCUUCUGCUUUGAUUUUCGAACAGCAUGAAAUCUAUUCAUGGAGCCUCAGCUAUCUGGUUAUGCUUUUGAUCAAAGAGACUUAUUUUCGGUAUUGAUUUUAUAUUUUAUAACUCGGUGUUACUUCAUUGAUUUUUUGUUGCUCCCAAUGCAUAUUUGAUAGCAGUACUAGCGUAGUAUCAUACUAUGUAGUCAAAUAUAAAAGGAAUUAUCAUUGGAAAGAGGAACAAUCUCCGAGGCAUGUGAAGAGAGAAUUUAUUAUGUACUUUGGAUUCUUGUCCUUCUUACUUGGUUUGUGUUGCAGUCCAUGAUGCAUCUGAGCUCCAGCCAUCUACCUGCUUGUGGGACAACCCUGUUCACCAUCCCUUUUCCAUGUGGAUUUGAAAGCUUUACGGCUCCAGAGUCCAGAGAUAAGGGGAUAGAUUUUAUGCAUCCAAUUUGAGGAUCUUGGAGGAAGAUAUUAGUGCUCUAACUUUAUGAUAGGUCUUCAUGUAUCAGCAGGAACUACGUUUCGUUCGUUGGCGUGUACUUAAUGGUUGUUUCACCCAAAUACUGCUUUUAUAAGACCAAAUAAAUUGGAAUUCUGUAUGUUGGUUAUGAACUUAUGCAAUGAUACGAUGAAUAUGAUGGUAUUUCUUUUUAUAUUCUAAU